AACGAACGCUGGCGGCAUGCCUAACACAUGCAAGUCGAACGAGACCUUCGGGUCUAGUGGCGCACGGGUGCGUAACGCGUGGGAACCUGCCCUUAGGUUCGGAAUAACUCCCCGAAAGGGGUGCUAAUACCGGAUAAUGUCUUCGGACCAAAGAUUUAUCGCCUUUGGAUGGGCCCGCGUUGGAUUAGCUAGUUGGUAGGGUAAAAGCCUACCAAGGCGACGAUCCAUAGCUGGUCUGAGAGGAUGAUCAGCCACACUGGGACUGAGACACGGCCCAGACUCCUACGGGAGGCAGCAGUGGGGAAUAUUGGACAAUGGGCGAAAGCCUGAACCAGCAAUGCCGCGUGAGUGAUGAAGGCCUUAGGGUUGUAAAGCUCUUUUACCCGGGAUGAUAAUGACAGUACCGGGAGAAUAAGCUCCGACUAACUCCGUG
Molecule: ribosomal RNA, 433 nt
Filed under: uncultured bacterium
Lineage: Bacteria
Description: partial 16S ribosomal RNA
Rfam family: Bacterial small subunit ribosomal RNA
Source: RNAcentral